This 389-nucleotide ribosomal RNA is filed under the name uncultured bacterium. RNAcentral describes it as "bacterial SSU rRNA". It matches the Rfam family "Bacterial small subunit ribosomal RNA", at positions 29 to 425 of the family's 1533-position model. The record is from RNAcentral.
AUUGAACGCUGGCGGCAUGCCCUACACAUGCAAGUCGAGCGCGAAAGGGGGCAACCCCGAGUAGAGCGGCGGACGGGUGAGUAACGCAUCGGAACGUGCCCAGUAGUGGGGGACAACCUCGAGAAAUCGAGGCUAAUACCGCAUACGACCCACGGGUGAAAGCGGGGACCGCAAGGCCUCGCGCUAUUGGAGCGGCCGAUGUCCGAUUAGCUAGUUGGCGGGGUAAGAGCCCACCAAGGCGACGAUCGGUAGCUGGUCUGAGAGGACGACCAGCCACACUGGGACUGAGACACGGCCCAGACUCCUACGGGAGGCAGCAGUGGGGAAUUUUGGACAAUGGGGCAACCCUGAUCCAGCCAUGCCGCGUGCGGGAAGAAGGCCUUCGGUUG